GAUGAACGCUGGCGGCGUGCCUAAUACAUGCCAGUCGAGCGAACAGACGAGGAGCUUGCUCCUCUGACGUUAGCGGCGGACGGGUGAGUAACACGUGGAUAACCUACCUAUGAGACUGGGAUAACUUCGGGAAACCGGAGCUAAUACCGGAUAAUAUAUUGAACCGCAUGGUUCAAUAGUGAAAGACGGUUUUGCUGUCACUUAUAGAUGGAUCCGCGCCGCAUUAGCUAGUUGGUAAGGUAACGGCUUACCAAGGCAACGAUGCGUAGCCGACCUGAGAGGGUGAUCGGCCACACUGGAACUGAGACACGGUCCAGACUCCUACGGGAGGCAGCAGUAGGGAAUCUUCCGCAAUGGGCGAAAGCCUGACGGAGCAACGCCGCGUGAGUGAUGAAGGUCUUCGGAUCGUAAAACUCUGUUAUUAGGGAAGAACAAAUGUGUAAGUAACUAUGCACGUCUUGACGGUACCUAAUCAGAAAGCCACGGCUAACUACGUG
This 497-nucleotide ribosomal RNA is filed under the name uncultured bacterium. Its description in RNAcentral is "partial 16S ribosomal RNA". It matches the Rfam family "Bacterial small subunit ribosomal RNA", at positions 28 to 507 of the family's 1533-position model. The record is from RNAcentral.